This 1343-nucleotide ribosomal RNA is filed under the name uncultured bacterium. Its description in RNAcentral is "16S ribosomal RNA". It matches the Rfam family "Bacterial small subunit ribosomal RNA", at positions 28 to 1378 of the family's 1533-position model. The record is from RNAcentral.
GACGAACGCUGGCGGCGUGCUUAACACAUGCAAGUCGAACGGAAAGGCCCUGCUUUUGUGGGGUGCUCGAGUGGCGAACGGGUGAGUAACACGUGAGUAACCUGCCCUUGACUUUGGGAUAACUUCAGGAAACUGGGGCUAAUACCGGAUAGGAGCUCCUGCUGCAUGGUGGGGGUUGGAAAGUUUCGGCGGUUGGGGAUGGACUCGCGGCUUAUCAGCUUGUUGGUGGGGUAGUGGCUUACCAAGGCUUUGACGGGUAGCCGGCCUGAGAGGGUGACCGGCCACAUUGGGACUGAGAUACGGCCCAGACUCCUAUGGGAGGCAGCAGUGGGGAAUAUUGCACAAUGGGCGGAGGCCUGAUGCAGCAACGCCGCGUGCGGGAUGACGGCCUUCGGGUUGUAAACCGCUUUCGCCUGUGACGAAGCGUGAGUGACGGUAAUGGGUAAAGAAGCACCGGCUAACUACGUGCCAGCAGCCGCGGUGAUACGUAGGGUGCGAGCGUUGUCCGGAUUUAUUGGGCGUAAAGGGCUCGUAGGUGGUUGAUCGCGUCGGAAGUGUAAUCUUGGGGCUUAACCCUGAGCGUGCUUUCGAUACGGGUUGACUUGAGGAAGGUAGGGGAGAAUGGAAUUCCUGGUGGAGCGGUGGAAUGCGCAGAUAUCAGGAGGAACACCAGUGGCGAAGGCGGUUCUCUGGGCCUUUCCUGACGCUGAGGAGCGAAAGCGUGGGGAGCGAACAGGCUUAGAUACCCUGGUAGUCCACGCUGUAAACGGUGGGUACUAGGUGUGGGGUCCAUUCCACGGGUUCCGUGCCGUAGCUAACGCUUUAAGUACCCCGCCUGGGGAGUACGGCCGCAAGGCUAAAACUCAAAGGAAUUGACGGGGCCCCGCACAAGCGGCGGAGCAUGCGGAUUAAUUCGAUGCAACGCGUAGAACCUUACCUGGGUUUGACAUGGAUCGGGAGUGCUCAGAGAUGGGUGUGCCUCUUUUGGGGUCGGUUCACAGGUGGUGCAUGGCUGUCGUCAGCUCGUGUCGUGAGAUGUUGGGUUAAGUCCCGCAACGAGCGCAACCCUUGUUCACUGUUGCCAGCACGUUAUGGUGGGGACUCAGUGGAGACCGCCGGGGUCAACUCGGAGGAAGGUGGGGAUGACGUCAAGUCAUCAUGCCCCUUAUGUCCAGGGCUUCACGCAUGCUACAAUGGCUGGUACAGAGAGUGGCGAGCCUGUGAGGGUGAGCGAAUCUCGGAAAGCCGGUCUCAGUUCGGAUUGGGGUCUGCAACUCGACCUCAUGAAGUCGGAGUCGCUAGUAAUCGCAGAUCAGCAACGCUGCGGUGAAUACGUUCCCGGG